RNAcentral lists this ribosomal RNA (498 nucleotides) under uncultured bacterium. RNAcentral describes it as "partial 16S ribosomal RNA". It matches the Rfam family "Bacterial small subunit ribosomal RNA", at positions 29 to 507 of the family's 1533-position model. The record is from RNAcentral.
AGCGAACGCUGGCGGCGUGCCUAACACAUGCAAGUCGAACGUGAAAAGGGAAACCUGAGUCCAGUGGCGUACGGGUGAGUAACGCGUAGGUAAUCUACCCCAGAAUCUGGAAUUACCUGCCGAAAGGCGGGCUAAUACUGGAUAGACCGAGGGACCUCUUAAGAGAGUUUUUCGGGUAAGGUAGCCCGCCAGGGCCUUCGUUCUGGGAUGAGCCUGCGUCUCAUUAGCUAGUUGGUAAGGUAACGGCUUACCAAGGCGAUGAUGAGUAGCUGGUCUGAGAGGAUGAUCAGCCACACUGGAAAUGAAACACGGUCCAGACUCCUACGGGAGGCAGCAGUGGGGAAUCGUGCGCAAUGGACGAAAGUCUGAAGCAGCCACGCCGCGUGAGGGAAGAAGGCCUUCGGGUUGUAAAGCUCUGUCGGAUGGGAAGAACAUAUUCAUAGUGAAUAGCUAUGAGGACUGACGGUACCAACAAAGGAAGCACCGGCUAACUCCGUG